Non-coding RNA from Phrynosoma platyrhinos (Desert horned lizard), 72 nucleotides. The record is from the annotation of a GenBank genome assembly. NCBI's taxonomy places the organism in Eukaryota, Metazoa, Chordata, Lepidosauria, Squamata, Phrynosomatidae.
GUCUGCAUGGUGCAGUGGUUCAAGCAAUGGACUCCAACUCUGGAGGCCUGGGGUCAAAUCCCAGAUCAGUCA